This 427-nucleotide ribosomal RNA is filed under the name uncultured bacterium. RNAcentral describes it as "partial 16S ribosomal RNA". It matches the Rfam family "Bacterial small subunit ribosomal RNA", at positions 355 to 774 of the family's 1533-position model. The record is from RNAcentral.
UGGGGAAUAUUGCACAAUGGGCGCAAGCCUGAUGCAGCCAUGCCGCGUGUAUGAAGAAGGCCUUCGGGUUGUAAAGUACUUUCAGCGGGGAGGAAGGGAGUAAAGUUAAUACCUUUGCUCAUUGACGUUACCCGCAGAAGAAGCACCGGCUAACUCCGUGCCAGCAGCCGCGGUAAUACGGAGGGUGAAAGCGUUAAUCGGAAUUACUGGGCGUAAAGCGCACGCAGGCGGUUUGUUAAGUCAGAUGUGAAAUCCCCGGGCUCAACCUGGGAACUGCAUCUGAUACUGGCAAGCUUGAGUCUCGUAGAGGGGGGUAGAAUUCCAGGUGUAGCGGUGAAAUGCGUAGAGAUCUGGAGGAAUACCGGUGGCGAAGGCGGCCCCCUGGACGAAGACUGACGCUCAGGUGCGAAAGCGUGGGGAGCAAACA